GAUGAACGCUGGCGGCGUGCCUAAUACAUGCAAGUCGAGCGAACAGACGAGGAGCUUGCUCCUCUGACGUUAGCGGCGGACGGGUGAGUAACACGUGGAUAACCUACCUAUAAGACUGGGAUAACUUCGGGAAACCGGAGCUAAUACCGGAUAAUAUAUUGAACCGCAUGGUUCAAUAGUGAAAGACGGUUUUGCUGUCACUUAUAGAUGGAUCCGCGCCGCAUUAGCUAGUUGGUAAGGUAACGGCUUACCAAGGCAACGAUUGUUAGCCGACCCGAGAGGGGCGUCGGCCACACUGGAUGUGAGACACGUCCGAGACUCUGACAGUGGGAAGCGGUAGAGACUCUUCCGCGAUGGAGGAGUGGCGGACGGAGCAACGCCGCGUGAGGGAUGAUGCACCACUGACCGGAGAACGCUGUAAGUAUUAAAGUUGAAAAGUGUAAGUACCUAUGAUCAUCUUGACGGUACCUAAACAAAAAGCCACGGCUAACUCCGUG
RNAcentral lists this ribosomal RNA (497 nucleotides) under uncultured bacterium. RNAcentral's name for it is "partial 16S ribosomal RNA". It matches the Rfam family "Bacterial small subunit ribosomal RNA", at positions 28 to 507 of the family's 1533-position model. The record is from RNAcentral.